CGGGCGGGCUAGCAACGACGUGAUAAAUCUGGGCCGAAAUAGUGGCUUUACGUGCAAGAUUGGUGGUAAUUGCUGCGGUACGACGAGCAGCACAGUGAACUGAUUAUGUGAGGCGAAAAAUGGCCUGGGUGCGUGUGCGUACGGCAGGUACAUCGAGGGAGAAUUGAUGGUCGUCACCUUUCACCUUGUCAGACGAACGAAUAUGAACUUUCAACACAACCCUCUUCGAAAACGUCCCGCGGCCUCCACUGGAUCGUCAGUGGUGACGUCUGAAGCACGAACUGGUUCUGGUGACGUGGCCGGCUGGACGGGCGGCCGCCGGUCGGCGGGCCUGAGAGCGGGGCUCAUCCCGACGCACGUGCCCAAG
Long non-coding RNA from Pollicipes pollicipes, 367 nucleotides. RefSeq lists it as uncharacterized. The transcript has 3 exons. The record is from RefSeq and is a predicted model, not a curated record. NCBI's taxonomy places the organism in Eukaryota, Metazoa, Arthropoda, Thecostraca, Pollicipedomorpha, Pollicipedidae.